CCUACGGGAGGCAGCAGUGGGGAAUCUUGCGCAAUGGGGGAAACCCUGACGCAGCGACGCCGCGUGNAUGAUGAAGGCCUUCGGGUUGUAAAGUCCUGUUUUGGGGGAAGAAACNUUAAGGGUCCAAUAAACCCUUGAAUUGACGGUA
RNAcentral lists this ribosomal RNA (148 nucleotides) under uncultured bacterium. RNAcentral's name for it is "partial 16S ribosomal RNA". It matches the Rfam family "Bacterial small subunit ribosomal RNA", at positions 338 to 477 of the family's 1533-position model. The record is from RNAcentral.